RNAcentral lists this long non-coding RNA (464 nucleotides) under Physcomitrium patens. RNAcentral describes it as "long non-coding RNA (PPAT_LNC007221)". Lineage: Eukaryota; Viridiplantae; Streptophyta; Bryopsida; Funariales; Funariaceae. The record is from RNAcentral.
AAUCAAUUACCUCUUGAAUGUAUCGUCUCUAUUUCUAAUAUCUGAACACACAAGGAAACUAUAAUCUCCUCCUUCACCUUAUCGAUCUCUUUGUUACAGCACUUCAGGUAUACCAAUAACUGCUAUUUUUACCAAUAUAUUCACCCUCAUAAUCUCCAACUGUAAUACUUCGCCCUCACAGCUUUUAUCACACAAUUAUCCUUGUUCCAAUCACUGAAUUCUUCACACAGAACUGCCAUUCAUAUUACAAUAUUUCACACAAACACAGACUCAUUCUUUCUACUCAACUACAAUCAGAUUUCAGCAUUCAAUCUUUCUUCUUCUCAAAUAAUACCAAUCACAUUUCCAUUCUAUACUUCACUUCACAAUAUUCAGAACCUCUCAAUCCUCUUAUUUAAAGAAAAUAACAAACAAAAGAAAAGAGGUAGCACUAAGCUUACCUCGGCUCACACUAUCACAGCGAU